This 846-nucleotide ribosomal RNA is filed under the name Triticum aestivum (bread wheat). RNAcentral's name for it is "partial small subunit ribosomal RNA". Lineage: Eukaryota; Viridiplantae; Streptophyta; Magnoliopsida; Poales; Poaceae. The record is from RNAcentral.
AUGGAUCCUCAUCCUCUUGUUAAUCAUUUUAAUAGAUCCAAUUAUGAUGAACCAAUUGCUAGUGAGUUGAGUGCACUAGAUUAUCUUUAUGAGGUUUUGCUUGAAAUUGAUGAAUCCGAAAAUUGUGAUGAAGUGUUGAAAGAAGAAAUUUAUGAAGUGAUUCACGAUAGCUCCUUGAAUGAAAAGCAUGAUUGCAAUGAUAUUAUUAUAAAUUCUGUUAGUGUCAAUUGUGUUAAUGAUAUGCAAAACCCUAAUCUUGGGGAUGCUAAUUCUGCUAUGUCUACUACUGGUUGCAAUGAUCAUGAUUGGGGUGAUUUUUCUUAUGAUCUUGAAAAUUUAUUUAAGCCCCAUGAUGAAUAUGAGAUUGAUAAUAAUGUUUGCAAUAAUAUUGAAAGUGGGUUUGGGAGAGUGUCAACUUUAUAUCCCGCGUAUUUGGAUAAUGUUCAAUCUUAUGAUUUUUUUGAUAAAAGUGGGUUCAGAGAGGUCAUGACUUUAUUUUAUGAUAAUCCCACUAUUUCGGAAGAGUGUCAACUUUGCAUGCAUGUGGAUCAUGAAGAGAAAAUUUUAUGUGAUAGCUAUAUUGUUGAAUUUUAUUAUGAUCCUCCAUGUAAUUAUUAUGAGAGAGGAAAAUACGGUUGUAGAAAUUUACAUGUUACAAAAUUACCUCUCGUUAUGUUGAGAUUGAUAUUGUUUCCUUCUUCGUCCUUGCAUAUGGUAGUUUUUGCUUGUCUUGAUAAUUUGUUUCCUUAUAAAAUCCCUAUGCAUAGGAAGCAUGUUAGACUUAAACUUGUUUGGCACGUGUUUUGUGAUGAUCUCUUUGUGCUUCAAUUCUUGUCUUUCAUGUGA